UAAUACAGAGGGUGCAAGCGUUGUUCGGAAUUACUGGGCGUAAAGCGCGUGUAGGCUGCCCGUUAAGUCUCGUGUGAAAGCCCUGGGCUCAACCCAGGAAGUGCGCGAGAUACUGGUGGGCUGGAGUGACGGAGAGGAUGGCGGAAUACCCGGUGUAGAGGUGAAAUUCGUAGAUAUCGGGUGGAACACCUGUGGCGAAGGCGGCCAUCUGGACGUCAACUGACGCUGAGACGCGAAAGCGUGGGGAGCAAACAGGAUUAGAUACCCUGGUAGUCCACGCUGUAAACGAUGGAAGCUAGAUGUCACGGGUAUUGACCCCUGUGGUGUCGACGCUAACGCAUUAAGCUUCCCGCCUGGGGAGUACGGCCGCAAGGUUA
RNAcentral lists this ribosomal RNA (377 nucleotides) under uncultured bacterium. RNAcentral's name for it is "bacterial SSU rRNA". It matches the Rfam family "Bacterial small subunit ribosomal RNA", at positions 521 to 896 of the family's 1533-position model. The record is from RNAcentral.